Molecule: ribosomal RNA, 429 nt
Filed under: Gemmatimonadota bacterium
Lineage: Bacteria; Pseudomonadati; Gemmatimonadota
Description: Gemmatimonadetes bacterium partial 16S ribosomal RNA
Rfam family: Bacterial small subunit ribosomal RNA
Source: RNAcentral
UAGGGAAUCUUCGGCAAUGGACGAAAGUCUGACCGAGCAACGCCGCGUGAGUGAAGAAGGUUUUCGGAUCGUAAAACUCUGUUGUUAGAGAAGAACAAGGACGUUAGUAACUGAACGUCCCCUGACGGUAUCUAACCAGAAAGCCACGGCUAACUACGUGCCAGCAGCCGCGGUAAUACGUAGGUGGCAAGCGUUGUCCGGAUUUAUUGGGCGUAAAGCGAGCGCAGGCGGUUUCUUAAGUCUGAUGUGAAAGCCCCCGGCUCAACCGGGGGGGGUCAUUGGAAACUGGGAGACUUGAGUGCAGAAGAGGAGAGUGGAAUUCCAUGUGUAGCGGUGAAAUGCGUAGAUAUAUGGAGGAACACCAGUGGCGAAGGCGGCUCUCUGGUCUGUAACUGACGCGGAGGCUCGAAAGCGUGGGGAGCAAACAGG